ACUCCGGGGAUAACAGGCUGAUUCCGCCCAAGAGUUCAUAUCGACGGCGGAGUUUGGCACCUCGAUGUCGGCUCAUCACAUCCUGGGGCUGUAGUCGGUCCCAAGGGUAUGGCUGUUCGCCAUUUAAAGUGGUACGUGAGCUGGGUUUAAAACGUCGUGAGACAGUUUGGUCCCUAUCUGCAGUGGGCGUUGGAAGUUUGACGGGGGCUGCUCCUAGUACGAGAGGACCGGAGUGGACGAACCUCUGGUGUACCGGUUGUAACGCCAGUUGCAUAGCCGGGUAGCUAAGUUCGGAAGAGAUAAGCGCUGAAAGCAUCUAAGCGCGAAACUCGCCUGAAGAUGAGACUUCCCUUGUGGUUUAACCACACUAAAGAGUCGUUCGAGACCAGGACGUUGAUAGGUGGGGUGUGGAAGCGCGGUAACGUGUGAAGCUAACCCAUACUAAUUGCUCGUGAGGCUUGACUCU
RNAcentral lists this ribosomal RNA (466 nucleotides) under human oral metagenome. Its description in RNAcentral is "bacterial LSU rRNA". It matches the Rfam family "Bacterial large subunit ribosomal RNA", at positions 2465 to 2925 of the family's 2925-position model. The record is from RNAcentral.